GAUGAACGCUGGCGGCGUGCCUAAUACAUGCAAGUCGAGCGAACAGACGAUGAGCUUUCUCCUCUGACGUUAGCGGCGGACGGGCGAGUAACACGUGGAUAACCUACUUAUAUUACUGGGAUAACUUCGGGAAACCGGUGCUAAUACCGGAUAAUAUAUUGAACCGCAUGGUUCAAUAGUUAAUGACGGCUUUGCUGUCACUUAUAGAUGGAUCCGCGUCGCAUUAGCUAGUUGGUAAGGUAACGGCUUACCAAGGCAACGAUGCGUAGCCGAGCUGAGAGGGUGAUCGGCCACACUGGAACUGAGACACGGUCCAGACUCCUACGGGAGGCAGCAGUAGGGAAUCUUCCGCAAUGGGCGCAAGCCUGACGGAGCCACACCGCGUGAGUGAUGAAGGUCUUCGGGUCGUAAAACUCUUUUGUUAGGGAAGAACAACUGUAUAAGUAACUAUGGACGUUUUGACGGUACCUAAUCAGAAAGCAACGGCUAACUACGUG
RNAcentral lists this ribosomal RNA (497 nucleotides) under uncultured bacterium. Its description in RNAcentral is "partial 16S ribosomal RNA". It matches the Rfam family "Bacterial small subunit ribosomal RNA", at positions 28 to 507 of the family's 1533-position model. The record is from RNAcentral.